GUUUAUCAAACGUUAGUCCAAAAAAGGUGUACAAAGUGCGUAAAAAUAAAGUGUAUCUAGGAUGACAUUUUUAUAUAAAAUUAAAGUGACCAUGCAACAGCAUAUGUAUAGUACUUAAAGUGACAGUGCCUAUAUAUAAUAGAUGCUCUGAAUAGAAGUCUUUACAAGAAUACAAAAGUUCAAGCAUAUACCAAGUGAAGAAUCUAGCACCAGCAACGAUUAAAAAAAAUAUAAAAACAUAUAUAUUGGUUAAAAACAAAAUAAAAUAGUUCACAUAAAAGAGACAUCAUCAUAUUACAGUGACAUUGCAUUAAGCUCUUAUCCUUUGUAGUUUGCAAGGACAGAAAAAAUGAAUUAAACAAAGGGGUUAUCCAGAUUCCUUACUUAAACACAGGGCCGGAUUAACCGGAUUUAAAUAGGCCCGUAGAUUUAAAAUAAAAAAAUAUAUAUAUAUUUUUUUUACACACUACUCUUAGGGUUUCCACCUGGCUGGUAUUUUACUGACAGUAUUUGAGGCUGCAUGGCCGGUGCCGAUAUUGCAGUCACACUAGCAAUGCAAAUGCUGGUAUUUUUCUCAGUAUAAACAGAGAUUACGAUGCAAUACCAGCGCUGGCCAGUAGGGGUCGCUGUGUGUGUGGAGAGAGAGAGGAUAGGAAGUUCCAGCAUAUCCCUCCCUAGCUAUCUCUACUCACUGAUCCGCAGGGGAGCAGCUACAGAGUGCAACUCCCGCCCUGCAGGCACAUCGUACAGCUCAGGGAAGUGAGGGAUGGGGGAAAAGGCUGCAAGGAGGCAUGGGGUCACUGGGAAAUAUGGGGACACUGAGAGACAGUGUCCCCAUGUAUUCAAGUGUCCCCUAGUAUCCCAGUGUCCCCAUGUCUUCGUGUCCCCUAGUAUCCAUGUGUCCCAGCCAGUGUCCUUGGUGUCUCACGGUCCCCAUGUCUCCCAGUGUCCCCAAGUGUCUCGGUGUCCCCAUGUCUCCCAGUGUGCCCAUGUCUCCCAGUGCCCCAAGUGUCUAAAUAUCCCCAUGUCUCCCAGCCAGUGUUUCAAGUGUCUGUGUUCCUUGUGUCUGUGUCCUAUGUCUUCAAGUGUCCCCUAUUUUCCCAGUGUCUCCAUGUGUCCCAGCCAGUGUCCCCUAGUCUUCCAGUGUCACUGGUGUCUGUGUCCCCAAGUGUCUCAAUGUCCCCAUUUUUAUCAGUGUCCCCAGGUCUCCCAGUGUCCCCUGUCUCAGUGUCCCCAUGUCUCUCAGUGUUCCUAGUGACAUGGGUACACAUAUAUUAGGGGACACUGGGAGACAUGUGGACAUAGACACUAGGAGACACUGAGAGACAUGGGCAUACUAGGGGAGACAUGGGGACACUGGGCGAUAUGGUGACACGAGAACACUGCGAGACAUGGAACAUUGAGACACUGUGACACAUAGGGUCACUGGGAGACCUGGGGACACAACACUAGGGGACACAUGGAGACAUGGGGCACUGAGACACUGUUAUACAUAGGGACAUUGAGACCUGGGGUAAUCAACACAUGGGGACACUGAGUCAUGAGGGCACUGAGAGACUAGGAGACACUGUCCGACAUGGGAACACUGAGACAGUGGGAGACUUGAGACACUGGGAGUAAUCCAUCUAUACAGCAGAAGCAAAGUGUAAGUAGUUUUUGGUGAUUUUACAGGAUUUUCUCUUAUGUCACUCCUUGUGAUUUACAUCAUGUGAUGUCACCCAUACAUAAUUAAUUAUGCAAAUUAGUAAGGCCAGUAUGUUUUUCCAAUUCUUUGGGCGUUUGCCCCUUUUGGCAGGUUACGUGAUUUGCGUCAGUGGCACACCAUUUUAGCGUGCCCAUUGACUUCCUGCUUCACUUGACACUGCUGUUAGGGGUUAUGGAUUAGCAUAGGGUAUGUGGUUAUUUAUGUUGGGGAAAGCACUAAAAAAAAAAAAGAAAUAAUGGUUCUCCAAACAUAAAUCAGUGAUUAGAACUGGUUUGAUUAAUGAUCAUUUUGCUGAAAUGAAAACAUAACAUUACACAGUUAUGUGAGGCUUUCUGGAUUAGGGAAUUGGAUUCCCUUUAUCCGAAGGGCCUAAUUACAAAUCUGAUGUUGUAUCUUUAAUUUCGUCUAAGGCAAAGGAAAGGUUUUUUUUACUGUAAGAACAAUCGGGAUGUGGAAUUCUCUGCCUGAAGAAGUGGUUUUAUCAGAGUCCAUACAGAUGUUCAAACAGCUACUAGAUGCAUACUUGCAAAAACAGAAUAUUCAAGGAUAUAAUCUUUCAAUGUAGGGUAAUAACUGCUUGAUCCAAGGAUAAAUCUGACUGCCAUUCUGGGGUCAAGAAGGAAUUUUUUUUCCUAGGCUGAACUUGAUGGACGCAAGUCUCUUGUCAGCUUUGUAACUAUGUAAUGUGAACUUUUUUGUUUAAUCAAUAUAUAUGUAUUUAUCCUUUUUUAGGUUAGUUAUCAUUUGCUGUUGGUGCUAUAUUCUUCACUUGUUGAAUGCCUGAUGUUUGUGUUCUUGUAAAGACGUCUAUCUAGGACAUAUAUAUAGGCUCUGUUACUUUAGGUACUAUAUUUUAAGAGCCUCUGUAGGUAGUAUAACCAUUUCAUCUCAUUGAAUUAGUUACAGUGUCUGGAGUUUCCAGGUACUGUUAAUCAAUUUACUGUUAAACCAUUUUUUAAAGGCAGAGAUUACACAAUUCCUUCUGUGUAUUCCCAUUUAUACCAGCAAUGGGCACUUUGAUAGGCUGAAUGCAGUAUGCUGACACUAUCAGCCAAUCCCAGCCACUCGUCAUUAGCCAAAGCUGCACAGUGGCAUUGAGCUGUAGGGAACUCUUGGUUAGCAUUAAAUUAUUAACAACUUUUUAAUGCAGAAUGGAAGGACAGCAUCAGGAGACUGCACACACUAUAAGAUUUUCAAUGAAAUUAAGCCAAUAUAAUGCCCAUUUAACCCCUUCAAUAUUACUACUGAAUCUAAACAUUUUCAUGUAUUUUGUAGUAUGAAAUCUAGUCCAUAAAUCAUCACUCACCCUCAUUUUUAUUCUAGUUAUAAUUAACAAACUAUAGAGGAAAGGAUGUCUCUUCCAGAUUACACUAGUCACUUAUGUAAUGAGUGAUGAAAAUGUAAGCUCACUGCUUCCAAACAGUACAGGAACUUACACUGGAUGAUACCAUUCCUACAGCCACUAAGGGAGUAAGAAUGAAUGGACUAUACCAUUUCACUAUUAGCAUACUAGAGCUUAAUAAAGUUUUCUAUAUCCGUUUUAAACACCUUAUUUAUGUGUGGGCAUUAUGAUCAAAUGUCUACGUUCUUUUUAUAUUUGUUGCCAUUUUAGCAAUCUGUACUGCUACUAAUGCCUUCAAGAUCCUUACAAAUACAUAUAAGCUAGGUAUGUGACCAUUUUUAUUUGCAUAAUUUUUAAGUUUGCCUGCAAAGCAAUCUAUACACAACAUUGCUGUGUUGUGAUAUUCGCAUUUGCUAGUUAUGCAUAUUGCAUCAAAUAAAUGUUAUGCUAAUAUUUUUUCAAACUCAAAAAGUGCUCGGCCGUGAAGGGGUUAAGCUGCUUCACAGUCUCUUUAAUUUUAUAUAUCUUGUAAAUGUCAAGAUAGAUGCACUUUUUGUAAAUUUUUGACUUGAUUCAUUUUGUUAUCUUAUGGUUGCACUUUUUUAAGCACUGGCACACUUAAUAAAUGACAGUUUCAAUUUAUAAACUUUUUGGGAUUAACAUUUGAUACACUUUUGUGAUAGUCCUAAUAUAUUAUUUCUCCAAUUAAAUAAUAAUAAUAUUAACGGUCUAUAUUCUCUUUAUUAUGUAUAUCACGUUAUUAACCCCUUAAGGCGUCCUUGGGUACCCGACUCUAAACGCCGGAAGGCGGCAUAGAAUGCCCAAGCCGUCCUAUGUAAUUACCCGGUCACCGGCGAUCCCACACUGGCGAUCGCAGUGUGGGGACUCACCUGGGAGCCCAGGGAGUCCCUCUCCGGCCCCCCUGGGCCAUGUGAUCGCGAGGACCUUCAUGAUCACAUGGGCGGCAUAGCCGUCCAAGGCAGUGCCAGCAGGGGGAGUGCCUGUAACGACAGGUACUCCCCCUGCUGCCUGAAAAUAGUAAAAUAUAUGUUAAAG
Molecule: long non-coding RNA, 4103 nt
Filed under: Pelobates cultripes (western spadefoot toad)
Lineage: Eukaryota; Metazoa; Chordata; Amphibia; Anura; Pelobatidae
Source: RNAcentral